Molecule: long non-coding RNA, 4627 nt
Organism: Alligator mississippiensis (American alligator)
Lineage: Eukaryota; Metazoa; Chordata; Crocodylia; Alligatoridae
Exons: 2
Source: RefSeq, a predicted model, not a curated record
CGGGGCCGCGGCGGGGGAGGCGCUGCCUCGGCGGCGCUGGAGCGAGCGAGGGACCGCGCCAGAGCCCGGGCCGGGCCGGGCCGCCGCCGCCGGCUGCAGCGCCGCGCGGACAAAGCCGAGGCAGAGGCUGCCUCAAAGGGGAAAAGCAGGCUCCCGCCUCGCCGCUCAGCGCUGGGCUGGGGCCGGCGGCGCGCACGUGUGCCGGGCGCUUCUCGCCUUUGUUAGCGGAGCCCACGGCACGCGGGCCCCCUCCACUGGCGGCCCGGCUCCGCGUGGGCUCGGCCGCGGCGCGGGGAGGCUUCAGCCCGCCGCUCUCCUUCCCCCGCUGCUGCUCCUCCAUUGUUGCUUCUCGGGGUCUCCGCGGGGGCAGCGAGCACGCGGCGGCCCCAGCCCCUGCCCCUGCCCGCCGCUUCCUGCGCGGGGCAGCGCAGGGCCGGGCCGGGGAGAGCCGAAGCUCUUGGCUUUCCGGACAAACUGAAAGCGGCCGCGAGCUAGAGGCCGGCCGCCCUGCAUGUGGCGGGCCGGGGUAAAAUCAGCGUCGUGCUGAAAUGUAAAGUCCACUCCCGCGAGUGUCUGGGGCCAGUCGGUUCCCGAGACCCCCCGCUCCGAGGACCUCCCCUCCCGGGCUUCCAGCACUCGUGUCGCGGAUUUCUGUGCAGUCCACAUCUGUCGAGUCGCUGCGCCGGGCUCUGCUCCUCUUCGACCCGCCGGCGGCGCGGAGCCCGGGCCCAGCCCAAGGCUUCGCUAGGCCGAGCGGCCCGGGCCGGGGGAGAGGGACCUGCCGAGCUGCCAGUCCAUUCUCUCAAAACAGGAUGUUUCCAUCCAAGCUUCGGCCGCUGUUCCCCAAAGAUCUCCGCACAGUGGAGUUGGGAAGCACGUGGAGAUCAAGCCGCGUUAGUAGCUGCCCCUCGAGUCACCGCAGCGUGCUUUGGCCCGCCAGCUCCUUCCUUUUUGUGCCUGGGGCAGCGCACACACACGUGUGUGUACCUGGCCGUGAUGCCCUCCCUCCACCCCGCAGCAGCCGGACCGGCUCCCCACUCCGUGUCCCACGGGGCUCGCAGUGCUUGGCCCAUUCCCCUCGUGCUGCUCCGGGUUUCUCGCUGCCAGCUUCUAGUAAACCGGAACCUACUGGUGGCUUGUGCCAAAAUGCAGUUUAACGACUGGUGCGAGGGCACCGUGGCGAGCUGGCUUUCCUCCCAGCUGGAAGAAACCUGGCUUCAGGAAAGGUUUUGAGCAAGCAGAUACCAGGGCGUCCCCCCAGUGUGUUUGCUGGGGUCCCGGGCUCUGGAGGAGAUUGCGGAUGAACUUUAAGGGUGAGAGCAGCCCAUAACCUGAGCGAGCAUGUGUUUCGUAUUUACCGACGCUGCCUUUGCUCUGCUAAGAUUUAGUAGGAAACUGUCCGAGACAAUGGCCAAACUAAAAACGUUAUCUAGUAAACUCCGCCGAAAGGGGUUGCCCCACUUGUGAAAUGCCCAUUUCCAUUUCCAUGUACAUGGCAGGGCAAGGACAAGCAGUGAUAACGUGUCAGUCAACAUACCGUUUUCCGGAUCAUUGGGGGGAGGGGGGAUCGUGUCUGAAUCUACUGUGGACGUUUGAAGUGGGAUAUUAUAACCAGAAGAAGGAUUUUCAGAUUGUUUCCAACUGUAAUAUAUUUGUCCUCAUCAAAAUCUGCUAGGUUCACUUGAGGAAAUAUGAUGUUCAUAGUAAAUGAUGUGGAAGAAAAAACAGCGGUAUUUAACACACACUAUAAAAUCAUGUCUGAUCUUCCAGGCUAUGAUCUCAUCGGCUCUUGUGUAUUUUAAGAGAGGUUUAUUAGUGAUGGUCAGGGGUUUGCAGUUGAUAGUAGUACAAUAUCAUUAAUUAGUUUAUGAUUCCGGUGUCCCUAUUCCAUAAAGGACCAUAUCGCAUAUAUUUAAUUCUAAACAGGCAAUAUCGUUAAACUCACAUUUCUCUAUAUACCUCUGCAGAUGUAGAUGAUUUAAAAUACUAUCUCGGUAAUAUGAGGCAUCUGACAUCCUGAAAUCCUCGCAGAGGACAUUAUCAAGUAGUUCUGCACUGGAAAUGUUUGCUGGAAGUGGGUAUGGGUUUAUUACACCUCUUAAAGUGGGGAAGCUUGGUGGGUUCUCUUGAUAAGGAUCUGGGAGCACUUAAAAAUAAUAAAAAAGCGAACGUGUUGGCCAACAGGGUUCAAAGAGGCCCCUGUCUUUCCAAAGGCCAGUGUCUCCGUGUACAGGGGCCGCACACACGCGCGGCUGUUCCCCCGCGGAGCUGUGUUUCUGCCACGACCUGCGGUCCUGGAUUUAAUCGUGCUGGUGAACGCUCAGUUUAAGCAAGCGCUUAGCGGUAUUUGCGACCCCCUGCAACUUCCAGCUGAACCCGCUCACGAGCUGCAACGUAAUUCUCUUGUGACUGCUGGCUGCUGUGACUUCACACGACCUGCAAAUCCAAGAUGCCUUUCAGACCGAGUUUACGGCCUGUAUUUGGUUAUGAAAUGCUGAUUGCAUCUGAUUAUCUAAAAAAAAAAGACGAACUACAUAAACAUCUGAUACUUCGUAUUAGAAUCAAGCACAGUGAUAAUUGCAAAGAGCUGUUUUUAAUUUUACUCCAAGUGUUUACAUAUCAACAUGUGGUAAAUUUGUCUUCACAGAGAAAGUUUUGAUUUUCCCCAUUAACAAUCAAUAAUGUUAAUGGCUUUGUAUAGACCUGGUAGAGAUUACAAUUUCUUCAUCUCCGCCCAUCUCAAAUUAUUGAAGAGAAAAGCGUAUGUGGAGAAAGAAAAAGCAUUCCCCUUUAAAUUGAAGAAGAUUAACUGGCUCCAUAGGCGCUUAAGGAUUCCUAGUGGACACUGCUGAGUUCAGCAGGAGAGUUUCCCUCCACAGCGGAGUAUAAAGAAAUACUGGCAAUUUAGCUUUGCUUUUAUUUCUAUUUUAAAAUCUUUAUUUUUUUUUCCACAGACACCUUUAAGGAUCAAAACGAGCACAUGCAACUGGCCGCGCUCAUUUUGAAACUUCGCUCCAAGAAAAGCUCGACUAUGGUGAAAACCGCAGACUUUUCCUUGCUCUUUCUGAAUCAUGUUCUCCAAUACGCAGUAUUUAUAUUGUAAAACAAACACUGCCUUAAGCGAGCUAAAGCAGAGGAAAUCAGAGCUACUGAGAGCAGGGGGUCCUUGGCUCUCCCCCUCUCUACAAAGGCGUUGCGGGGGUCCCAGGCUCUGCCACAGCACAAGAUCUAGGCUUCCCCGAGGUGGACGAUUGCCCCCAGCCGAGGAUCUGCCACCCCAGCUAUCACAAUAGCAUCAAACGGAGCACAAGGGUAAUAGCAACUUUUCAAACUUUUUAAACCACAAAACUGCUAACGUUACCGAAGCACCAACUUCCUGCAGCAGUUUCUGGUUUAAAGUUUCAGGUGUGGGUGCUUCAAGGCGGUGAAUAUACUCAUCAGAAAGCUCCAGCCGUGGCCGGAGCUAGGUGUAUGGAGAUACAUGUCUCUGCGUCAAGAGGUGAAAUAUUUUUGAGCAUACGUUUACCAAAAAAAAAAAAAAAGCAUCUAGGCUAGAAACCUGUGGGGUUAUGGGGUUAUAACAAAAGGAAAAGAGGCCAGAAAGAAAUAUCCCACAGUGGAUUACGAGGUUAUGGGACAGGUCACGGAAGGAAAGUUAAACAAAAAGCAAGGGUACAUUAUAUAAACCUCACAUAAUUAAAAAUAUAGUUAGUCCUAAUGUUGGCUCUGUAUCCACAAAUAUUCAUUUCAUGUGUUAAUCACAUGGCUUUUUAUUUAAUGGGACUAUCUCCUGUUAAUAUACCUCAUGUACUCAGUGUUUUAUUUUUUUGCUUUAUGGGAAAGCUGACCACAACUUUUAACGAUCUUUAAUUUAAUGAGGACUAGCAUAAAAAUCGAAGUGAAAUAUGCACGUACAGAGCUCGCCAGAGAGACAGGCAGGCAGCGAGGAAACCCGGCCAUACAAAGAGACGACUCGAAGACAGUCACAUAUUAAAUAUUGGAGCGAUCGAUUUCAAUACCUUGAGCGGACACGGGAAUAAAACCCCCCGUCCCCCCGCCCAGAUGAAGGGAUUAGGAAUGCUUUGUUGGGGAGGAACGAAAUGCGAUUUUCGGCAGAUCCUGUUUGUUCGGGUUAGCGGAGGGCCGGGCAAUCCGCUUUCAAGCGCUAGGCUCCCGCUUUGGGACAUCACCCGAAAGAGGCACACGGACGCACACACGACAGGACGAUGUGUUGCACCGAGGACGUUGGGAGCGUGGUUCCAGAGACAGUGGUUGCCAGUGCUAACGGUUUCUCUUUCAGUUACCAAACCUGGACACUGCUUCAAGUCGGUGUUCUCGCACCGCAGACACACGGAGAUUAUUUAUUCAGCACCCGGGAAUAAGAAUCCUUCUGGGCUCAGGCAUCAGACCAAAUAGAUUCGGUGCGCACAGGUUAAAAACCAGAUGCCGAUCUAAAUGUUCCAUUAUAAUGUAACAAUUAGGAACGCGACCGGCCCUUCAGCGCCUCGGCACAUCCAGAUCUCAUCUUCACGUGGAGACAUCUUGGUUUUAAUUAACGACUGCUUUAUUCUCAUUAUUCACAAGGAAAAAUAGGGGUCACGUCGCAUUAAAAUUAAGAUUAUUUUAA